RNAcentral lists this unclassified non-coding RNA (3224 nucleotides) under Hevea brasiliensis (rubber tree). Lineage: Eukaryota; Viridiplantae; Streptophyta; Magnoliopsida; Malpighiales; Euphorbiaceae. The record is from RNAcentral.
UAUUUUUGCUUCUUUUUUUUUUUUGUUUGGGGGGGGCGUCGCGCUUUUGCUUUUGAGGGUUUAAUAAUGGCUGCAGGGUCAACAGUUCGGUUAGUUCGUUGCCCAAAGUGUGAAAAUCUCCUACCAGAGCUUCCUAACUAUUCUGUAUACCAGUGCGGUGGUUGUGGUGCUUUUCUUCGAGCAAAGAAGAAAGCGGCUAUAAAUGGUCUAUUAGAGAAGCGUGAAAAGAAGAGGGAUGAAGAAGCCCGAGAGGGUUUUGAGAAAUUGCAGAGUUUGUCAGAGAAAGAAGAUGGUAGUAAUUUAGGCAUUGCAUCUGAGGCUGAGUUGGAGAGUGAUAUGGUUUUUCUUGAUAGGAGAAAUGUGAGUGUCUUUAGAGAAAGAACUGCCGAAUUGGUCAUUAGUUCUUCAUUGAAUAUAGAAAACAAAGAAACUUCCAUUGAUAGCAGCAAUGGAACUGUGAAGGAACAAAUUUUGGGUUAUGAAAGAGGUGCAGAGAGAGGAAAUGGUUCUAGUAAUAAUUAUAGGCUACCGCUGAAGCACCCAAUUGGGAAUAGGGCUGGCCGGGGUGAUAAUGAAAUGAACAUGAAUAAAGCCGAGUUUGUUAAUUCAAGUAGGGAAAAAGGUGUUGUAGAAAUUUCAGCCCAAGUUAAGGGUUCUGCUGGGUCUUUGAGGUCAAGGAUGAUUGCGGGCAAUUGGAGUUUGGAUAAAGAUGGCAUAGAGGGACCUUAUGCAAACCCCAGAAUGGCUGCUGAUCAGAGCAGUUUUGCGACUUUUGCUUCUUCUGAUGAGGGACCUUCAAACUAUUGCUUGAGCUCUUCUUCUUAUGGAUAUGGUAAAAUGGUGAAGAAUUUUGAUGACCUGGAUGGGUCUAAUAGAUUUGCACGCUUAGAGCAGAAUCGAGCUGAGUUGCUUAGGAAACUGGAUGAGUUGAAGGAACAUAUCUGCAGAAAUGGUUCUGCAGCUGAGAAACAAAGUGAAGGGGCCUUUGGUGCUUACCAUGAUAGUGCUACUUACAAUGUUCCGGUGAAACCUUUAGCUCCAGAUAAGCAUGUCCAAAGAAACCCUUACUUUAAGCAACAUGGCCGUGAUAUAGAUAUGCAAAACUUUUAUUUUCCUCCAAAUCACGUUGCAAAUGAAUUUCCAGUUUAUGAGGAUCCCAUUCAACUAAAAUUACCCAGGAUGAGUUCCCAUCAACCACCUGGUCGGUAUUGGCAGCAAACUCCUGCUGAUUACGUGCUAGAGGAAUACAGGGAUUUCAACCAAGAACAACGCAUUGCAUCUUAUCCUUGUGGAACACCAUAUCAAGAUCCUCCUUGUGCAUGUUUCCACUGCUACAACAAUAAUCGACAUGUUUCUUCACGAGUCCCAGUCUCUGUUUUUGGCAAUAAAAAUAUUUUGAAGGACCCAACUGAUUCCCACUUCAACUACCGUGUCAAUCCUAUCACAUUUGGGUCAAAGAAAUGCAAACCUCAAGCCAAUCCUCCUAAAUUUCACGCACAAGAUCCACAGUCACAUGGUAGUUGGCCUAGUGACCUCGAUUCAGAUGUGAAUGUUUUUCAUCAGAGGCGUCCAAGGAGGGUGGUUGUAGCUCGUGGAAAUGUGCGUCUUUGCCAUCCUAUUGCGGGUGGUGCCCCAUUUAUAACAUGCUCCAGUUGCUUUAUGUUACUAAAACUGCCAAGAAAACUUAAAGCAAGGGAGAAAAAUCAGCAGAAACUGCAAUGUGGUGCCUGCUUAACAGUAUUCUUGUUUGAAAUUAAGAACAAGAAGCUAAUUAUUUCUAUUCCCACUGAAAUGAAGCAAAUAUUGGCUGGAGCAAAUGAAGGCUCUUCUGAGGUCUCAAAAGAAGUCCCUUCAAGUCCUCAUGGUGGUUUUAUUGCCCAAGGAAUGGAUUGCUCUGUAAAUGUUGAUAAUCCUGGUCAUGAUUUCCGGACAUCAGAUUUCAAAAGAAAUAUCCUGUCAGAAGUCCAGAGGCUGAAAUUAAUUGAAUUUGAGAAAAGGCAGCACCUUUCCCUAUCUCCCAUAUCUUCUGGGGAAGAAGAGGACCUGGAUAGUGUGAUUGUUAAGAGAGUUGUUUCCUACAUUCCUGAGCUGCCCACAAAAGAUAACGCAUCUCCAAAAUUUCCAGGUUUACCUUUAUCAGAGAGUUUGGAUGACGUCUCAUCUAAUAAGGAAGAAAACAGACAUGGGAAAGGAAACAAGAGUAAUGGAUCAGACCAUGAAAAGGUUAUACUUGACAAGAGUACUUCUCAACAGAAAUCGGUGAAAGAUGCAUCAGAAACUGAAGUGGAAGUUUCUUUCACUGAAUACCUAAGUACUAAUUUAUCUCAAGACUCUAUGGAGAUGAGUGAAGAAAAAGACCAGUCUAGGAUCAACAAGGGAAGCGAAUCAUUCCUGGUGGGUCUCCUCAGGAAGGGCUUUGGGGAUUUCUCAAGAUCUAAACACCACGUGGAGGGUGAAACUGAAGAAUCUAAUAUUUCUGUUAAUGGGCAACCUAUUCCAGACAGUAUGGUGAAAAGGGCUGAAAAGCUAGCUGGGCCAAUUCUUCCUGGAGAUUACUGGUAUGAUUUUGAAGCUGGAUUUUGGGGUGUGAUGGGACAACCUUGCCUUGGCAUAAUUCCUCCUUUUAUUAAGGAGUUUAAUUAUCCCAUGCCAGAAAAUUGUGGUGCUGGAAACACCAGUGUCUUUGUCAAUGGGAGAGAGCUUCAUCAGAAAGAUUUAGAUCUACUUGCCAGUAGAGGACUACCAACCACAAGGAAUAAGUUCUAUACUGUUGGAAUUUCAGGGAGAGUUCUUGAAAAAGACUCUGCUAAAGAGCUAAACAGCCUUGGUGAACUCGCCCCUACGGUCCAGAAGCUGAAGCGAGGAUUUGGGAUGAAGGUUCCAAGAAGAAAGCCUGUCUGAUCAGUAACAUUUUAGUUUAAUAAUCUUGUUCAGCUGUAAAUAUGAAGGCAAUCACCGCUUGUAUUUAUUUGUUUGUGUUCUAUUGAUGCCUGAAAGUGCGCUUUCUUCACAGCGAAUGCUAAUGUCAGAUUCCUGAUAUGCUUGCUUGUACUGACAUGAUAUUUUUGACCUCAAAUACGAACUAGUUUGUACAGAUUGUAUAUAUUCUAUGUAUGCAUAUUGACUAGUUAGUUAUAAAUGGCCAAGCAAAUGCUAAUGUCAGAUGCAUUAGGCUGCACAGUACAUCAUCUUAAACCUUUCUUUUUCUGAGCCAUGUUGGGAAG